UACGUAGGGUGCAAGCGUUGUCCGGAAUUAUUGGGCGUAAAGAGCUCGUAGGCGGUUUGUCGCGUCUGCUGUGAAAACUCGGGGCUUAACCCCGGGCCUGCAGUGGGUACGGGCAGACUAGAGUGCGGUAGGGGAGACUGGAAUUCCUGGUGUAGCGGUGAAAUGCGCAGAUAUCAGGAGGAACACCGGUGGCGAAGGCGGGUCUCUGGGCCGUAACUGACACUGAAGCGCGAAAGCUAGGGGAGCAAACGGG
RNAcentral lists this ribosomal RNA (253 nucleotides) under uncultured bacterium. RNAcentral's name for it is "partial 16S ribosomal RNA". It matches the Rfam family "Bacterial small subunit ribosomal RNA", at positions 524 to 776 of the family's 1533-position model. The record is from RNAcentral.